UCCAGACUCCUACGGGAGGCAGCAGUGGGGAAUAUUGGGCAAUGGACGCAAGUCUGACCCAGCAACGCCGCGUGAAGGAAGAAGGCUUUCGGGUUGUAAACUUCUUUUAAGGGGGAAGAGUAGAAGACGGUACCCCUUGAAUAAGCCACGGCUAACUACGUGCCAGCAGCCGCGGUAAUACGUAGGUGGCAAGCGUUGUCCGGAUUUACUGGGUGUAAAGGGCGUGCAGCCGGAGAGACAAGUCAGAUGUGAAAUCCACGGGCUCAACCCGUGAACUGCAUUUGAAACUGUUUCCCUUGAGUGUCGGAGAGGUAAUCGGAAUUCCUUGUGUAGCGGUGAAAUGCGUAGAUAUAAGGAAGAACACCAGUGGCGAAGGCGGAUUACUGGACGAUAACUGACGGUGAGGCGCGAAAGCGUGGGGAGCCAACA
RNAcentral lists this ribosomal RNA (429 nucleotides) under uncultured bacterium. RNAcentral's name for it is "bacterial SSU rRNA". It matches the Rfam family "Bacterial small subunit ribosomal RNA", at positions 330 to 774 of the family's 1533-position model. The record is from RNAcentral.